UUCUAUUUAGUAGAUUAAUUAUUCAUUUUGAUGUAAUGAUGUGGCUUGUUAGGCGUUUACUAU
RNAcentral lists this transfer RNA (63 nucleotides) under Fragariocoptes setiger. RNAcentral describes it as "tRNA-Ile". Lineage: Eukaryota; Metazoa; Arthropoda; Arachnida; Trombidiformes; Phytoptidae. The record is from RNAcentral.